GGAGCCCUUUCGCCAGCUUUUCAUUUUAUUUCAAAAACAAUGGCGGACAGCACAAGCGGUAGACCACGAAGCUACAGACUGUAAAUAGACGUUUCCUGGAGGUGCUGGUGCUGGCUGGUCCUCUGCUGCCCUCCCGACAUCUGCAUCUGGCUCCAAUGACCUCUGGCACAAACCUCACAUCCACCUCCAGGGCCUUUAAGAAGAUGCACCGCCAUCGCGUCUUCAGUAUCCCGAAGGACCUCUCCACAACACACCUCGCCUUUGACAGGCAGCAGUUGUAGCGUGCUUGGAGGUGGUUGUGGACAGGCUGCCUGAAGGGGGUCAUGAGGCAGAUGGGUUGGGACAGGCAGGGGUAGCCACCAUCCCCAAGGAUACAGUAUCCUGGUGGAGGGUAUGACUGCUCAUAGAAGAUGGGGCUGUUAUUCAGGACCCUGGCAUCAUGCACUGAGUCUGGGUAGCCCAAACACACUUCUAUGAAUUUGCACUUAUCACAGAUGGCCUGCAGCUGGAUGUAAUGAAAAAGCUUCCUGUUAAAAUAGCAGGCAGCAUCCUCCGCUGGGGGCUUCACUCUGACGUGGCAGCCAUCAAUAGCCCCCACCACUCUGCUGAAGGCUGCCGACCCAGCUAGACGGGCGAAGUGGGCAGGGGAAGGGAAGAUUAUAUUAAUAUGCAAGUCAUUCUAUCAAUAAAAUGUUGUCAUUGAGGUUUUGUAGUCUUUUAUUGCGUUUUCUGAUUUAUAUUAGAAUUGAUGCAUGUUUGUAACAAUAAUUAAUAUGCCUGUGUGUUCAAUUGCUCAUUGAUUCCUGUAUCAGGGUAAACUUAACUACAACAGAGAUGUGUAUGAAAGUACAGUCAGUCAAAGUAGGCCUAUUACUGUGUGAAUUCAAGCAGAUGAUGCCUAUCAUUUCAGUGGAUAAUUCUUAAAACUAAUUGGAAUCUAGGGACAAACAUGUA
Long non-coding RNA from Pseudoliparis swirei, 954 nucleotides. RefSeq lists it as uncharacterized. The transcript has 2 exons. The record is from RefSeq and is a predicted model, not a curated record. Lineage: Eukaryota; Metazoa; Chordata; Actinopteri; Perciformes; Liparidae.